This is a long non-coding RNA of Malus domestica (apple), 1181 nucleotides long. RefSeq lists it as uncharacterized. The record is from RefSeq and is a predicted model, not a curated record. Lineage: Eukaryota; Viridiplantae; Streptophyta; Magnoliopsida; Rosales; Rosaceae.
AAAAAGAAAAAAAAGAAAAAAGGAAAAGCCCGGAGUGGCGUACGACAAGUCGUUUCUCAUGCCGAGUAGAAACCCUAACCCCUAAAACCCCUAUAAAACUCUCUCUUCCGGCUGCAUUUAGCUCCCGCAAGUACAACUGAUGAAUUUCCCAAUUCAGAUAGCCCCUUGCUGCUUGGAAACAUGGUAGCAGGGAAAUUUCGAGCAAAGGGUUCGGUGCAAGAUUCAACCUUUGGCAUCGGUUGUGCAGUGAAUCCGAGUGAUUUCUCUUGCGUAACUCUGAUUUGCCAGAAAAUACAAGUACCAGAUCUGAAGAAAAUGGCAAAGCAAAAUGAUGAAAUCAGAUUUAUUUUAAUCUGAAUUUGAUGUGGAAUUUCAAAUCAUGCCUUCAAAGUUCUCUGAUUGCUUUGCCAUAUCUUUUAAAGUUUGAGAUUUUAUCUGAAUUUAUGGUUUAAUUCUUGUGUUUUUACUGUUGCAUUUGAUAUUAUAUGUAUAUGGAUUUUAUGAAGCAAAAUGAGGAGAUUUAUAUUGCUGAAUUUGAUGUGGAACAACCUCAUACCAUAUUGGUCUUCAAAGUUCUCUGAUUGCUCAUGUUGCUAUGUUAUGUCGAGUUUUCGAUGAAUUUACUAGUGUUACUUGUGAUCCUGUUUUCUGGAGCCCAACAAUUCCCUAUAAACGUGACCCUUCUGAUUGAAUUUGUAUGAAUUAGUUGAAGCUGUUUAAUCUUGGCUUAUUUCUACUGUUUAAUUUUUAUAUUGGUGGCUGAUGAGACGAGUUGAAGCGCGAAUGUGAGCACCAAAAUUUGCAGUCUGUUAUGCAUUUGUAUUGCAGACUGUCGAGCAUGGUGCGAUACUGAAGGUAUCUCUUUGUUUUUUCAUUGCAAACGUCUCUUGUAUUUUUUUGUAUGACAGCUGAAGCAAAGCUAGGGAUACAACAUGUUGGCAUUAUGUCGAGCAAUAUGCAUCAAAACAACAUUACAAGCUUGAGCAAAGUAAGCGAACAAUUUGCCAACAGAUUGCAAAGAAAAAGGAUUCCGGUUCCAAGCUGGCUAAAGUUGUUAAUCCUUUAUGUAAGGUUUUAGUAGAUACGAUUUCAUAAGGCUGAACAUCUUUGUACAUGAAUUUUGGAAUAUCAAUCUGUUGUUAAAUGUUAUGAAAUCCUGGAAGUUUUACUUUUGAUGCCAA